CGCGUAGGCGGUCUGUCCAGUUAGGCGUGAAAGGCCUGGGCUUAACCCAGGAAUGGCGCUUAAUACUGACGGGCUUGAGAUUGGAAGAGGAGAGUGGAAUUCCCAGUGUAGAGGUGAAAUUCGUAGAUAUUGGGAAGAACACCGGUGGCGAAGGCGGCUCUCUGGUCCACAUCUGACGCUGAGGCGCGAAAGCGUGGGGAGCAAACAGGAUUAGAUACCCUGGUAGUCCUAACCGUAAACUAUGGAUACUAGAUGUUGGGAGAGUCAAUCUUUCCAGCGUCGUCGCUAACGCAUUAAGUAUCCCGCCUGGGAAGUACGCUCGCAAGGGUGAA
RNAcentral lists this ribosomal RNA (332 nucleotides) under uncultured bacterium. RNAcentral describes it as "bacterial SSU rRNA". It matches the Rfam family "Bacterial small subunit ribosomal RNA", at positions 568 to 898 of the family's 1533-position model. The record is from RNAcentral.